This 492-nucleotide ribosomal RNA is filed under the name uncultured bacterium. RNAcentral describes it as "partial 16S ribosomal RNA". It matches the Rfam family "Bacterial small subunit ribosomal RNA", at positions 29 to 507 of the family's 1533-position model. The record is from RNAcentral.
AGUGAACGCUGGCGGUAGGCCUAACACAUGCAAGUCGAACGGCAGCACAGUAAGAGCUUGCUCUUACGGGUGGCGAGUGGCGGAAGGGUGAGGAAUAUAUCGGAAUCUACACUUUCGUGGGGGAUAACGUAGGGAAAGUUAAGCUAAUACCGCAUACGCUCUACGGGUGAAAGCAGGGGAUCUUCGGACCUUGUGCGAUUGAAUGCGCGGAUGUCGGAUUAGCUAGUUGGCGGGGUAAAGGCCCACCAAGGCGACGAUCCGUAGCUGGUCUGAGUGGAUGAUCGGCCACACUGGAACUGAGACACGGACCAGACUCCUACGAGAGGCAGCAGUGGGGAAUAUGAGACAAUGGUCGCAAGCCUGAUCCAGCCAGACCGCGUGGGUGAAGAAGGCCUUCGGGUUGUAAAGCCCGUUUGUUGGGAAAGAAAAGCAGCAGGUUAAUACCCCGCUGUUCUGACGGUACCCAAAGAAUAAGCACCGGCUAACUUCGUG